UAUAUGCGCUCUGCAGAGGACUGUGUACC
This 29-nucleotide non-coding RNA is filed under the name Rattus norvegicus (Norway rat). Lineage: Eukaryota; Metazoa; Chordata; Mammalia; Rodentia; Muridae. The record is from RNAcentral.